RNAcentral lists this long non-coding RNA (371 nucleotides) under Gossypium barbadense (sea-island cotton). RNAcentral describes it as "long non-coding RNA (GBAR_LNC013684)". The record is from RNAcentral. Lineage: Eukaryota; Viridiplantae; Streptophyta; Magnoliopsida; Malvales; Malvaceae.
AGCCCAACAAAGCCAACCCCAAAGCCCUUCUCCCUUCUCUCCAUGCAGAACCUCCCCAAAGGCCUCACCAUCUCAAAACCAGCCAACAACUCAAACCUACCGUCUUCACUCGCUGGCAGCGCCAUUGCUGGAGCUAUCUUCUCAACCUUGAGCUCAUGUGACCCCGCCUUAGCUGCACAACAGAUUGCUGAAAUAGCUGAAGGAGACAACCGUGGGCUAGCUCUAUUGCUUCCCAUAAUCCCAGCGAUCGCUUGGGUCCUCUUCAACAUCCUCCAGCCAGCACUUAACCAGCUGAACCGAAUGAGGAGCUCCAAAGGGGUUAUCAUAGGGCUAGGGCUCGGAGGAUUGGCUGCAUCAGGGUUCAUGUCAAC